Molecule: small nucleolar RNA, 58 nt
Filed under: Oryza sativa Indica Group (long-grained rice)
Lineage: Eukaryota; Viridiplantae; Streptophyta; Magnoliopsida; Poales; Poaceae
Source: RNAcentral
AUUUAAUAUACCGAGCCAACUAAAAUAAAUAUUAAUAGAACUAAAUCAAAAGAAAACA